RNAcentral lists this ribosomal RNA (293 nucleotides) under Ctenophora environmental sample. RNAcentral describes it as "partial Bacterial small subunit ribosomal RNA". It matches the Rfam family "Bacterial small subunit ribosomal RNA", at positions 11 to 332 of the family's 1533-position model. Lineage: Eukaryota; Metazoa; Ctenophora. The record is from RNAcentral.
GUUUGAUUCUGGCUCAGAACGAACGCUGGCGGCAGGCUUAACACAUGCAAGUCGAGCGCCCUGCUUGCAGGGAGCGGCAGACGGGUGAGUAACGCGUGGGAACAUACCUUUCGGUUCGGAAUAGCCCCGGGAAACUGGGUGUAAUACCGAAUACGUCCUUAGGGAGAAAGAUUUAUCGCCGAAAGAUUGGCCCGCGUUAGAUUAGAUAGUUGGUGAGGUAACGGCUCACCAAGUCGACGAUCUAUAGCUGGUUUGAGAGGAUGAUCAGCCACACUGGGACUGAGACACGGCCC